UUCCUACGGGGGGCUGCAGUGGGGAAUUUUGCGCAAUGGGCGAAAGCCUGACGCAGCAACGCCGCGUGGAGGAUGAAGGUGCUCUGCAUUGUAAACUCCUGUCGGCCGGGAAGAAUCGGCGGGGUGCUAAUCAGCCCCGUCUUGACUGUACCGGCAAAGGAAGCCCCGGCUAACUCCGUGCCAGCAGCCGCGGUAAUACGGAGGGGGCAAGCGUUACUCGGAAUUAUUGGGCGUAAAGGGCGCGUAGGCGGUCUCGGGCGUCGAGGGUGAAAUCCCCGGGCUUAACCCGGGAACUGCCUUCGAUACGGCGGGACUUGAGUCCGGGAGAGGGGAGCAGAAUUCCCAGUGUAGCGGUGAAAUGCGUAGAUAUUGGGAGGAAUACCAGUGGCGAAGGCGGCUCCCUGGACCGGUACUGACGCUGAGGCGCGAAAGCGUGGGUAGCAAACAGGAUUAGAUACCCUUGUAGUCCC
This 470-nucleotide ribosomal RNA is filed under the name uncultured bacterium. RNAcentral's name for it is "bacterial SSU rRNA". It matches the Rfam family "Bacterial small subunit ribosomal RNA", at positions 336 to 797 of the family's 1533-position model. The record is from RNAcentral.